GGGAACGCUGCCUCUCUGCUCGGGACGUGGAUUCCUUUCCCCUCCUCCUCGCCUGGCUACUUCUGACGCAGGUCGUCAGGACUCCGCUUGGGUGUCACCCGUGCAGGAAGCCUCCCUUAGUCAAGGGCCCUCGGCACCCGCCCCAUAUGUGACUAGCAGCCCUCCUGUGUAUUUCAUCGCGCCCCCGUUGUUUAUAUCAGCCAUUCCACUCACCACCCUUCUGGGCAACCCUUUAUCUCCCGCUCUGAAAUCCCAUCGCUGAGGGCUGGGACCCCUCCUCAGUGCUUAUCCCUGUUUCCCCGCGCGAGUCUGGCGCCUGGCGUGUGGAAGGCGCUCAGUAAACGUUUGUGGAGCGAAGAAACGACGCAAAGGUGAUGAGCACGACGCAGUUAGGAGGCUAUUGGCCCGGCGCGG
Molecule: long non-coding RNA, 414 nt
Filed under: Homo sapiens (human)
Lineage: Eukaryota; Metazoa; Chordata; Mammalia; Primates; Hominidae
Description: LHRI_LNC218.1
Source: RNAcentral